Molecule: ribosomal RNA, 503 nt
Filed under: uncultured bacterium
Lineage: Bacteria
Description: partial 16S ribosomal RNA
Rfam family: Bacterial small subunit ribosomal RNA
Source: RNAcentral
AUUGAACGCUGGCGGCAGGCUUAACACAUGCAAGUCGAGCGGGGUGAUGGUGCUUGCACUAUCACUUAGCGGCGGACGGGUGAGUAAUGCUUAGGAAUCUGCCUAUUAGUGGGGGACAACAUCUCGAAAGGGAUGCUAAUACCGCAUACGUCCUACGGGAGAAAGCAGGGGAUCACUUGUGACCUUGCGCUAAUAGAUGAGACUAAGUCGGAUUAGCUAGUUGGUGGGGUAAAGGCCUACCAAGGCGACGAUCUGUAGGGGGUCAGAGAGGAUGAUCCGCCACACUGGGACUGGGACACGGCCCAGACUCCUACGGGAGGCAGCAGUGGGGAAUAUUGGACAAUGGGGGGAACCCUGAUCCAGCCAUGCCGCGUGUGUGAGGAAGGCCUUAUGGUUGUAAAGCACUUUAAGCGAGGAGGAGGCUCUUUUGGUUAAUACCCAAGAUGAGUGGACGUUACUCGCAGAAUAAGCACCGGCUAACUCUGUGCCAGCCGCCGCGGUAA